GGGUUGUGAGGUUAAGCGACUAAGCGUACACGGUGGAUGCCCUGGCAGUCAGAGGCGAUGAAGGACGUGCUAAUCUGCGAAAAGCGCCGGCGAGGUGAUAUGAACCCUUGACCCGGCGAUGUCCGAAUGGGGAAACCCAGUGCAAUCCGUUGCACUAUCGUUAACUGAAUACAUAGGUUAACGAGGCGAACCGGGGGAACUGAAACAUCUAAGUACCCCGAGGAAAAGAAAUCAACCGAGAUUCCCCCAGUAGCGGCGAGCGAACGGGGAGCAGCCCGGAGUCUGAAUCAGCUUGUGUGUUAGUGGAACGGUCUGGAAAGUCCGACGGUACAGGGUGAUAGUCCCGUACACGAAAGCACACAUGCUGUGAACUCGAAGAGUAGGGCGGGACACGUGGUAUCCUGUCUGAAUAUGGGGGGACCAUCCUCCAAGGCUAAAUACUCCUGACUGACCGAUAGUGAACCAGUACCGUGAGGGAAAGGCGAAAAGAACCCCGGCGAGGGGAGUGAAAAAGAACCUGAAACCGUGUACGUACAAGCAGUGGGAGCCUCUUUAUGGGGUGACUGCGUACCUUUUGUAUAAUGGGUCAGCGACUUAUAUUCUGUAGCAAGGUUAACCGUAUAGGGGAGCCGAAGGGAAACCGAGUCUUAACUGGGCGUUAAGUUGCAGGGUAUAGACCCGAAACCCGGUGAUCUAGCCAUGGGCAGGUUGAAGGUUGGGUAACACUAACUGGAGGACCGAACCGACUAAUGUUGAAAAAUUAGCGGAUGACCUGUGGCUGGGGGUGAAAGGCCAAUCAAACCGGGAGAUAGCUGGUUCUCCCCGAAAGCUAUUUAGGUAGCGCCUCGUGAACUCAUCUUCGGGGGUAGAGCACUGUUUCGGCUAGGGGGCCAUCCCGGCUUACCAACCCGAUGCAAACUACGAAUACCGAAGAAUGUUAUCACGGGAGACACACGGCGGGUGCUAACGUCCGUCGUGAAGAGGGAAACAACCCAGACCGCCAGCUAAGGUCCCAAAGUCAUGGUUAAGUGGGAAACGAUGUGGGAAGGCACAGACAGCCAGGAUGUUGGCUUAGAAGCAGCCAUCAUUUAAAGAAAGCGUAAUAGCUCACUGGUCGAGUCGGCCUGCGCGGAAGAUGUAACGGGGCUAAACCAUGCACCGAAGCUGCGGCAGCGACACUAUGUGUUGUUGGGUAGGGGAGCGUUCUGUAAGCCGUUGAAGGUGUGCUGUGAGGCAUGCUGGAGGUAUCAGAAGUGCGAAUGCUGACAUAAGUAACGAUAAAGCGGGUGAAAAGCCCGCUCGCCGGAAGACCAAGGGUUCCUGUCCAACGUUAAUCGGGGCAGGGUGAGUCGACCCCUAAGGCGAGGCCGAAAGGCGUAGUCGAUGGGAAACAGGUUAAUAUUCCUGUACUUGGUGUUACUGCGAAGGGGGGACGGAGAAGGCUAUGUCAGCCGGGCGACGGUUGUCCCGGUUUAAGCAUGUAGGCGGAGGUUCCAGGUAAAUCCGGUACCUUAUUAACGCUGAGGUGUGAUGACGAGGCACUACGGUGCUGAAGUGAUAAAUGCCCUGCUUCCAGGAAAAGCCUCUAAGCAUCAGGUAACACGAAAUCGUACCCCAAACCGACACAGGUGGUCAGGUAGAGAAUACCAAGGCGCUUGAGAGAACUCGGGUGAAGGAACUAGGCAAAAUGGUGCCGUAACUUCGGGAGAAGGCACGCUGAUAUGUAGGUGAAGCCCCUGCGGGUGGAGCUGAAAUCAGUCGAAGAUACCAGCUGGCUGCAACUGUUUAUUAAAAACACAGCACUGUGCAAACACGAAAGUGGACGUAUACGGUGUGACGCCUGCCCGGUGCCGGAAGGUUAAUUGAUGGGGUUAGCGGCAACGCGAAGCUCUUGAUCGAAGCCCCGGUAAACGGCGGCCGUAACUAUAACGGUCCUAAGGUAGCGAAAUUCCUUGUCGGGUAAGUUCCGACCUGCACGAAUGGCGUAAUGAUGGCCAGGCUGUCUCCACCCGAGACUCAGUGAAAUUGAACUCGCUGUGAAGAUGCAGUGUACCCGCGGCAAGACGGAAAGACCCCGUGAACCUUUACUAUAGCUUGACACUGAACACUGGUCCUUGAUGUGUAGGAUAGGUGGGAGGCUUUGAAGCGUGGACGCCAGUCUGCGUGGAGCCAACCUUGAAAUACCACCCUUUAAUGGCUGGUGUUCUAACGUGGACCCGUAAUCCGGGUUGCGGACAGUGUCUGGUGGGUAGUUUGACUGGGGCGGUCUCCUCCCAAAGAGUAACGGAGGAGCACGAAGGUUGGCUAAUCCUGGUCGGACAUCAGGAGGUUAGUGCAAUGGCAUAAGCCAGCUUGACUGCGAGCGUGACGGCGCGAGCAGGUGCGAAAGCAGGUCAUAGUGAUCCGGUGGUUCUGAAUGGAAGGGCCAUCGCUCAACGGAUAAAAGGUACUCCGGGGAUAACAGGCUGAUACCGCCCAAGAGUUCAUAUCGACGGCGGUGUUUGGCACCUCGAUGUCGGCUCAUCACAUCCUGGGGCUGAAGUAGGUCCCAAGGGUAUGGCUGUUCGCCAUUUAAAGUGGUACGCGAGCUGGGUUUAGAACGUCGUGAGACAGUUCGGUCCCUAUCUGCCGUGGGCGCUGGAGAAUUGAGGGGGGCUGCUCCUAGUACGAGAGGACCGGAGUGGACGCAUCACUGGUGUUCGGGUUGUCAUGCCAAUGGCACUGCCCGGUAGCUAAAUGCGGAAGAGAUAAGUGCUGAAAGCAUCUAAGCACGAAACUUGCCCCGAGAUGAGUUCUCCCUGAGACUUUAAGUCUCCUGAAGGAACGUUGAAGACGACGACGUUGAUAGGUCGGGUGUGUAAGCGCAGCGAUGCGUUGAGCUAACCGAUACUAAUGAACCGUGAGGCUUAACCUUACAACGCCGAAGGUGUUU
RNAcentral lists this ribosomal RNA (2932 nucleotides) under Enterobacter hormaechei. RNAcentral's name for it is "23S ribosomal RNA". It matches the Rfam family "Bacterial large subunit ribosomal RNA". Lineage: Bacteria; Pseudomonadati; Pseudomonadota; Gammaproteobacteria; Enterobacterales; Enterobacteriaceae. The record is from RNAcentral.